UACGAAGGGUGCAAGCGUUACUCGGAAUUACUGGGCGUAAAGCGUGCGUAGGUGGUUGUUUAAGCCUGUUGUGAAAGCCCUGGGCUCAACCUGGGAACUGCAGUGGAAACUGGACGACUAGAGUGUGGUAGAGGGUAGCGGAAUUCCUGGUGUAGCAGUGAAAUGCGUAGAGAUCAGGAGGAACAUCCAUGGCGAAGGCAGCUACCUGGACCAACACUGACACUGGGGCACGAAAGCGUGGGGAGCAAACAGG
Molecule: ribosomal RNA, 253 nt
Filed under: uncultured bacterium
Lineage: Bacteria
Description: partial 16S ribosomal RNA
Rfam family: Bacterial small subunit ribosomal RNA
Source: RNAcentral